This 240-nucleotide unclassified non-coding RNA is filed under the name soil metagenome. Its description in RNAcentral is "partial contains 5.8S ribosomal RNA, internal transcribed spacer 2, and large subunit ribosomal RNA". The record is from RNAcentral.
AACCAUAGAAACCUGCGGAGUACCUGCGGAAGGAUCAUUACAGAGUUGCAAAACUCCCUAAACCAUUGUGAACGUUACCUAAACCGUUGCUUCGGCGGGCGGCCCGGGUCCCUCCCGGCGCCCAUCGGCCCUCGCGGGCGCCCGCCGGAGGUAAACCAAACUAUUGCAUUGUAUGGCCUCUCUGAGUCUUCUGUACUGAAUAAGUCAAAACUUUUAACAACGGAUCUCAGAUCGGAAGAG